CCUACGGGAGGCAGCAGUAGGGAAUCUUCCACAAUGGACGAAAGUCUGAUGGAGCAACGCCGCGUGAGCGAUGAAGGCCUUCGGGUCGUAAAGCUCUGUUGUUAGGGAAGAACAAGUAUCGGAGUAACUGCCGGUACCUUGACGGUACCUAACCAGAAAGCCACGGCUAACUACGUGCCAGCAGCCGCGGUAAUACGUAGGUGGCAAGCGUUGUCCGGAAUUAUUGGGCGUAAAGCGCGCGCAGGCGGUCCUUUAAGUCUGAUGUGAAAGCCCACGGCUCAACCGUGGAGGGUCAUUGGAAACUGGGGGACUUGAGUGCAGAAGAGGAAAGCGGAAUUCCACGUGUAGCGGUGAAAUGCGUAGAGAUGUGGAGGAACACCAGUGGCGAAGGCGGCUUUCUGGUCUGUAACUGACGCUGAGGCGCGAAAGCGUGGGGAGCAAACAGGAUUAGAUACCCUGGUAGUCCACGCCGUAAACGAUGAGUGCUAAGUGUUAGGGGGUUUCCGCCCCUUAGUGCUGCAGCUAACGCAUUAAGCACUCCGCCUGGGGAGUACGGCCGCAAGGCUGAAACUCAAAGGAAUUGACGG
RNAcentral lists this ribosomal RNA (587 nucleotides) under uncultured bacterium. RNAcentral describes it as "bacterial SSU rRNA". It matches the Rfam family "Bacterial small subunit ribosomal RNA", at positions 338 to 916 of the family's 1533-position model. The record is from RNAcentral.